GCUGGGCACAGCGGUGUAUGUCUGUAGUCCUAGUUACUUCGGAGGCCGAGGCAGGAGGAUUGCUUGAGCCCAGCAGUUCAAGACAAGCCUGGGCAACACAGCAAGACUCUAUCUAAA
This 117-nucleotide small RNA is filed under the name Marmota monax (woodchuck). The record is from RNAcentral. Lineage: Eukaryota; Metazoa; Chordata; Mammalia; Rodentia; Sciuridae.